CGCUUUACAUGCAGAUAAUAUAAUUCCCAUACACGCGACAUAUAAAUUGCGUUUGAUUGUGUUUUCUUCAUGAGACUGUCAGUACCUUGCACUUUUCGGUAUUAAAUCGCAUUCUUCUAUUAAUGUUCCACGCUUCCAGUUGGUAAGGUACAGGUAGCUAUUCUUGUAAGGACUGGCAUUCAUCUACUGAUCUUAAUAUCUCUCUGUAUA
Paramuricea clavata is the source of this 210-nucleotide non-coding RNA. The record is from the annotation of a GenBank genome assembly. Lineage: Eukaryota; Metazoa; Cnidaria; Anthozoa; Malacalcyonacea; Plexauridae.